UGUGAUGCCAUUGACUGCCUCAGUAGCGUAACUUCUAUUUCAACGUCUUAUAUCUUCUAUAAUAAUUGCCGUCUUAAUCAUCGAGUCAGUUCAUAAUUAAUCGUAAUAAUUGAUAAAUUACAAAGAUAAGUCGUGACGCUCCAAAGGCAGACUUGGUUAAGGGUCCUCUGAAAUUGAAGUUGAGUAAAUAACUGUCAAAAAGGAAGUGCAUUUUUUGGUUUUGGUGGGAACUUGUUGUGAAUGCUGUCCAUUUUAUUUUUCUAUUAUUCCAAACAGAGGAAAAUACCUUCAGGUCCUAACUAGAAUUGAGUAUUGUACAGAGAACAUCCAGUGAAAAUGGAAGGUGAAAAAUCGCCAUCAUUGCUGUUACUCAAAGAAGAGAAGGAGAAUCUGGAGGAGGGUCUAACUGAAAACACAGGGGAAGGCUCUUCGUUUGCAGACCCCUUCUUAGAAGUCAAG
Molecule: long non-coding RNA, 459 nt
Organism: Macrobrachium nipponense
Lineage: Eukaryota; Metazoa; Arthropoda; Malacostraca; Decapoda; Palaemonidae
Exons: 3
Source: RefSeq, a predicted model, not a curated record